This 229-nucleotide ribosomal RNA is filed under the name uncultured bacterium. RNAcentral's name for it is "partial 16S ribosomal RNA". It matches the Rfam family "Bacterial small subunit ribosomal RNA", at positions 118 to 347 of the family's 1533-position model. The record is from RNAcentral.
UGGGCAACCUGCCCCAGACUCUGGGAUAACUCCGGGAAACCGGGGCUAAUACCGGAUACUCCGAUCGGACGACAUCGUCUGACCGGGAAAGCUCCGACGGUCUGGGAUGGGCCCGCGGCCUAUCAGCUUGUUGGCGAGGUAACGGCUCACCAAGGCGACGACGGGUAGCUGGUCUGAGAGGGCGAUCGGCCACACUGGGACUGAGACACGGCCCAGACUCCUACGGGAG